CCUACGGGGGGCUGCAGUGGGGAAUAUUGGACAAUGGGGGGGAACCCUGAUCCAGCCAUGCCGCGUGUGUGAAGAAGGCCCUCGGGUUGUAAAGCACUUUCAGUGAGGAAGAACGCCUGGUGGUUAAUACCCAUCAGGAAAGACAUCACUCACAGAAGAAGCACCGGCUAACUCCGUGCCAGCAGCCGCGGUAAUACGGAGGGUGCGAGCGUUAAUCGGAAUUACUGGGCGUAAAGCGCGCGUAGGUGGCUUGAUAAGCCGGUUGUGAAAGCCCCGGGCUCAACCUGGGAACGGCAUCCGGAACUGUCAAGCUAGAGUGCAGGAGAGGAAGGUAGAAUUCCCGGUGUAGCGGUGAAAUGCGUAGAGAUCGGGAGGAAUACCAGUGGCGAAGGCGGCCUUCUGGACUGACACUGACACUGAGGUGCGAAAGCGUGGGUAGCAAACAGGAUUAGAUACCCUAGUAGUC
RNAcentral lists this ribosomal RNA (466 nucleotides) under Vreelandella stevensii. Its description in RNAcentral is "partial 16S ribosomal RNA". It matches the Rfam family "Bacterial small subunit ribosomal RNA", at positions 338 to 795 of the family's 1533-position model. The record is from RNAcentral. Lineage: Bacteria; Pseudomonadati; Pseudomonadota; Gammaproteobacteria; Oceanospirillales; Halomonadaceae.